RNAcentral lists this unclassified non-coding RNA (148 nucleotides) under uncultured fungus. RNAcentral describes it as "sequence contains ITS1, 5.8S rRNA gene". Lineage: Eukaryota; Fungi. RNAcentral also lists the same sequence under 1 other name. The record is from RNAcentral.
CCGAGUGAGGGCCCCCGGCCCGACCUCCAACCCUUUGUGAUUUGACUGUGUUGCCUCGGGGGCGACCCGGCGCUCACCGGCGCCGGGGCCCCCGGUGGACCCCAACCAACUCUUGCGUCUCGACGUCGGUGAAUUGAUGAAUAUCAAA